UACGGAGGGUGCAAGCGUUGCUCGGAAUCACUGGGCGGAAAGCGACCGCAGGCGGCCUGACAAGUCGGAUGUGAAAGCCCUGGGCUCAACUCAGGAAUUGCAUUCGAAACUGCAGGGCUAGAGUCCUGGAGAGGAAGGUGGAAUGCUUGGUGUAGAGGUGAAAUUCGUAGAUAUCAAGCGGAACACCGGUGGCGAAGGCGGCCUUCUGGACAGUGACUGACGCUGAGACGCGAAAGCGUGGGGAGCAAACAGG
Molecule: ribosomal RNA, 253 nt
Filed under: uncultured bacterium
Lineage: Bacteria
Description: partial 16S ribosomal RNA
Rfam family: Bacterial small subunit ribosomal RNA
Source: RNAcentral